This 107-nucleotide small nucleolar RNA is filed under the name Thalictrum thalictroides. Its description in RNAcentral is "Plant small nucleolar RNA R71". It matches the Rfam family "Plant small nucleolar RNA R71". Rfam says of the family: R71 is a member of the C/D box family of snoRNAs containing the C (UGAUGA) and D (CUGA) box motifs. Lineage: Eukaryota; Viridiplantae; Streptophyta; Magnoliopsida; Ranunculales; Ranunculaceae. The record is from Rfam by way of RNAcentral.
AUUUGAUGAUGUGGGCAUUGUAUUUGAAGAUCAUUAAAUCUAUCCCAAGCUUCGUAAAAUUCUUCAUUAGUUUUUUGUCUAAAUGUUUGAAUUUUAUUUCGAAUAUC